GGUCCUAGUGACCUUCAACACAUAUACGGUUAAGGCUUUGCCACCUACUUCGUGGCAUCUCUAACCACGUUUUUUU
RNAcentral lists this non-coding RNA (76 nucleotides) under Sinocyclocheilus anshuiensis. The record is from RNAcentral. Lineage: Eukaryota; Metazoa; Chordata; Actinopteri; Cypriniformes; Cyprinidae.